GCAGGAUCGCCGACGCAGGAGAGUCGGGGCCGGCUGUAAACCGGUCGCACCAGCUGCUCAGGGGGUUCGAAUCCCUCAUCCCGCACCA
Molecule: transfer RNA, 88 nt
Filed under: Actinoplanes awajinensis subsp. mycoplanecinus
Lineage: Bacteria; Bacillati; Actinomycetota; Actinomycetes; Micromonosporales; Micromonosporaceae
Description: tRNA-Tyr
Source: RNAcentral